Aedes albopictus (Asian tiger mosquito) is the source of this 24576-nucleotide RNA transcript. It is a transcript of the gene named stromal interaction molecule homolog, with no coding region annotated. NCBI's taxonomy places the organism in Eukaryota, Metazoa, Arthropoda, Insecta, Diptera, Culicidae. The record is from RefSeq and is a predicted model, not a curated record. The transcript has 2 exons.
UCUGUCCUUAAAUCUGAAAUGAAUUUCGCCCGGCUUCUCGUUUUGGCUGCCGUAGGUACCUACCGCCCAAAGCCGGACACGACUAGCGAAGACCGGCGUCGCGUUGUCACCGACAGCGACAACGACAGACAGACAGCUAGAUUUCGGGCAAAGAAGCAGAGCAAACAGGUGAUUAACGUGCCGUACCGUCAGAAUGUAGAAGAGAGUGUGCCUUCACUGUUUGUCUUCUUCAAGUUCAAUUCUUACUCACAAGCAAGUAAUAAACCGGCUGUUUGUGGGAUUUUUCGCAAAACCGGAAUGUAAGAGGAGGAAGAACCCAUCGGAAUUAAGUUCACCUCAAGUGCCGCCGCCGGUUGACCUUUCGAUGAUGUAGUACAUUCGGGACUUGGUAUUUGAAAUGAUUAGAUGUGUUUACAACUCGUUAUUUCCGAGUAUGUACUAACAAAGAAAUGAUAGAUCCUCCAGGAUUUACCCUUUCUACAGGAAAAGAGUUACCAAUAAUGCUUUGAGUUAACUUACUACCUUAAGUACAUUCUACACAUGAAUGAUCUUACAAGAUAUUACAGACUUCGUUUGGGCGAGUUCAUGUGGCAGCUAGUGAAGAGAGAAGGAUUGUAGUGGCAUAGGUUCACUUUGGUUAGCCAAUUGCCGCUUGUUCAGCUUUGAGCAGCAUGGUUGCAGCUUUGAUAAAUGAACAUAUUGCAAUACCUUUUCCGCAAAUACAACAAUCAAUGUACUAACAAAAUAUCACCACAAUGUUUGCAAAAGUGAUUUGCACUUUGCGACAAACACACACACACACACACACCCAUAUCACUACUCAAUUCGGAUUUCGAAGACUUGUAUGACGACUUUGAUUCACACUGACUGACUGCUGCUGGUUGGACACGCUCGCGCUCAUCUGCUCGGACCGUGCUGUUGUAUAUUUGUCAAUUAGUUUCGAUGAUCAAAUCACCGCAGACCGACCGCAAUGACAAUCCCAUAAAACUUGACGAUGAUGACGAUCACCGGAUCGAUAAUGGGCUGCUGGAAAGCGCGACCAAGCGUGCUUAUAAUUUCACGGUUGGUAGGAAGUGUUACUUUUAGACUUCUCCACCCGAGCAGGAGAAAAUAGCUGAAGAAUAACUAACUCAGGUAUGGAAAACCGAAUACCUACAACCUGAAUGAGUUAUUAAGUAGCCCUGCAUAAGAGGUAAAAUACCUUAAAUAAUAACUGGUGUGUAUUCUGUGCAUAACCCGUGAAUAGUGACAUCAGAUAUGGCAAUACCUAAAUAAUAAUCGGAGAUUUUUCCACACAAAUAGCGAUUUUUCCAUAAUUGAAUAAUACUUCAAGCAGUCCUCAACACCAAACCAAUAACUCGUUGAGGUAUUUCAUCAAUACAUACAAAAUAUCAAAAUAAGUUAUUUUCAAUACCUGGAUAACCGACCAAUGUAAUCUUGGUAUGAUAACCAGUCCUGUUAUUGGUCGUGACCAUCCCAUGACGAUGAACAAGUAGGCCUUUUCAUCGUCACAAAAUGAAACGAGCACUCGCGCUCUUCGUCAUGUCAUUUCGCAAUAAUCAAGCGUUAUGACGAAAACUUCCAUAUUGUUUUGAAAUUAAAAUUUUCCCGUGGUCCAAGCAAAUUUAGGCUAGUCGUUGUAUUUAAUAGAUAGAGAAGGCAUGUAUUCAUGAUUUAAAGGAUUCAAACAAUAACAAAAUCCAUCUAUGUACUAGUAAUUGCCUUGUUUACAACCAUGUCACGCUCCGUCAUUACCGAGAAAUGAGCGAAUAUUGUUAGACUCUCUUGGUCAUCGUCACCCGAUUCGAUGACAUUGAGAGAGGCACUUCUGUAAAAAUCACGUGACGACUCGUGUUGACAUUGACGCUUUCCAAGCCUGAUGAUAACUGUUGCGGACCCCUCGACAUGCAGUCGAUGUAAGCUCCUGACUGAUCGAGGUGACAGGUGUCAAGCUGUCAGGGGUGACGUAUCAUUUAAGAACUGUCAUUGAAAUGAUUUGCAAAAAUUAAUUGAAGACUACAGAAGUUAUAAAAAGUAUUUUUUCUUUAUUUUCAUCUAUUGAAAUUGUAUUACAUUAUUCUAUAUAUUUUUAGAUUCGCUAAAUUGAAUUAUCAUUAAUAUAGUGUUCUGUGUGUGGUGAAUUAUUUCGGACACUAAGUAGUAAGUACCUGUACAUAUGUUAAAAAGAUUGUGAACUCAAACAGUAAAAUAUACAAAUUACAGCUUUAGCGACACUCAGUAAAAAGCGAGUUGCUCAAAGGCAUCCGAAAGGACAAAUCACACCAACAGACAACUAAAGUACUUACGGAUUCAGUGCAAUACCAUGAAUCGAACAUCGGCCGUACGGCAGACACGAUCGCGGACACGGGCUGUAGCGGAAGAUACACCCAACCUCCAAAAUGAUGAGCAACGAGAGAAUGCAUCCGUGAAGUCAUCGGAGGGCAAUUUCGAGGCAUCCUUAAUCGACGAAGAGCGUGCGGAUGAACGGGAGUGCGGUGCUUGCGAUCGUCCGAACAAGGCCGAGUGGUUCAUGGUUCAGUGCGGGGACUGUGAAAAGUGGUACCACUUCUCCUGCGCCGGGGUGACACACAAAACAGUUCACUCCAAAUCGUUCACUUGUGCGGUUUGCGAAACCCGAACAUCGAUUCCUCCUCCAACUUCGAUGUCUGUUCGGACAAGUACGUCUAGUUCACGCAGAGCAAGACUGGCCCGUGAACUGCAACGCCUCGAGGAGGAACACGCACUGCAAGAAAGGAUACAGCAAGCAACCCUGGAGAAGCUAGAUCGCGAAAAGGAGUACAUCGCUCGAAAAUACCAGCUCCUCGAGCAGCGGGACGAAGCCGAUACGUCGAGCUUCCGUAGUGAUUCUUCCAGUCAGACUAGCAGAGUAAAUGAAUGGGUUCAACAACAAAACAGUGUCGUAGCCGUUACUAGUGCCGUCGUUCAGCAGGCUGCAUGCGUGGAGAGCAGUCAUGCAGGCACUGGGGCCUCAGUUUCCCGUAAAAACGUACAGAUUACGUCCACUCCGUUGAAGAUGGGAUUCUGUUAUACGAACCCGAAGGUUGCUGAAAGUCGGCCAGUUUCCAGCAUCGGUGGUGUAGCUGACAGCGAAUUAGAGAAAACGUUUGGUAGCAUAACCAUUGAUGGUAUCGAACGUCCUGUAGAAUGCGAGGGCAUCGUUCCGUUGGUAGAUGUUCAACCGUUGGUGGAUCUACUCGAAUAUUCCCCACCGAAGAUCCCUGAGACAGGUGCUCUCCCAAAGAAUCCGAUGCCUUUGUACGAAAAGUGGCGUAGAGAGACCAACGAUCUACGGAAGGAACACUACAGGAAGCAACAGCAACACGAAAUCGAAAUCGAGAUUAGGCGCAAACGUGAAUUGGACCUUGUUAGUAAGCUAAACCAGCUGAAGGACAGUCAAGAGGAACAAUUCGAAUUGCAGCGUCGGCGCGAAGCCGAUCUAUUUCGUCAACUGCAGCUUCGAGAAAAAGAGGAAAAAGAGAUCGAGAAGCGGCAACGGAAAGCACUGGAAGAACGGGACGCUGAGUUACAACGCUUGCGGGAGAUAGAGCGAGCAUUCACCGAGAUGCAGAUGUCAGCUCGGCAGAAGCGGAGUAGUGCGUGUGAUCCUAAUGCGAACGCUAUAGCAGAACAUGUACAGGAGAAGGCCCACCAUCCGGAAGCACGAACGUGGUCGCCAGGUUGUACCCAAGGUGAAGGUAAAAACAUACCUCGUCAAUCGAACAUUCUGGUAAGUCCACCCCGUUCACCUGUCGUUUCAUUGGAAGCAAUAAACAUCACCCCCUCAUGCACCCCUCACCAACAAAAUGGGCUGGAUGAGCUUUCGAUCAUCACUCCAGCAGGUGGUCGAUCUCAAUAUUCUAUCCCCGUGAAUCGAUCAGUGGCAAUGCUUACUCCUUGUGCCACCCCUAUACAUGAACCGCAAAUGAAUUUUCCCUUCUUUCCCCACCAUGGCGUACCUCAGAAUGAGCCUCGACAGCCCUUCGUUCAGGUAAGCCCCUCUGUCGCGAACUACGGUCCACAACAGUUCCAGUGUGGUCCAACGCCGCAGCAAGUGACCGCAAGGCAGGUGAUUUCCAGAGAACUUCCAUCGUUCAAUGGGGAUCCUAUCGAAUGGCCGAUGUUUAUUAGCAGCUAUUCGCAUUCAACGAGUGCAUGCGGGUAUACGGAUUUCGAGAAUCUACUCCGGCUUCAGCGGUGCCUCAAAGGUGCGGCCAAAGAUGCAGUCAGCAGCCUUCUUUUGCAUCCAUCAUCAGUUCCUCUGGUCAUUUCUACAUUACAAACUUUGUAUGGUCGGCCCGAGCAAAUCGUCAGCAACAUGGUUACAAAGGUACGAAACACUCCUGCCCCAAAAGCGGAUAGAUUAGAUACGUGGGUCACAUUUGGGUUGAUGGUGCAGAACUUGUGCGGACAUCUCAAAGCGGUAGGGCUGGAAAAUCACCUGUCCAAUCCUAUCCUGUUGCAAGAACUAGUGGAAAAGCUACCACCUACUGUGAAGUUCAACUGGGCACUCUACCAACAAAGUUUGCCCAUUGUGGAUCUCAGCAGUUUCGGAAGCUACAUGGAGAAGAUCGCCACUGCCACAAGCAGUGUGGCAACGCCCUUGAUCAGUCAACCGAAAACAAACAAGGAGGAUCGACCCAGGGGAAAGGAUAAGGCGUUUGUUAAUGCCCAUGCGGCGUUGGCCCAAUACGACGAAGAUCCAGAAACAUCGGUCGACGAACAUCAGCAGAUGCACAUCGCAGCGAAGAAAACCGAAACAGUAUCAGCAUGUUCAUCUUGCGGCGAAGAAAGUCAUCGGGCUUCGAACUGUCCGACAUUCAAAAAACUUUGUAUUGAUGCUCGUUGGAAAGAAGUGAAAGAGAAGCAGCUUUGCAGUCGGUGCUUGACGUCACACAGUCGCUGGCCAUGUCGCGGAGAAGUAUGCGGAGUGAAUGGUUGCCAAAGACGCCAUCAUCGAUUGCUUCAUCCCGAUCUUCCUAGGGAGGAGAAAAAGAUCGCGGAAACGAAGAACGCCACCAUUACAGUUCAUCGUAAGCAGACAUCGUCAACGCUCUUUCGCGUGUUACCCGUGACACUCUACGGAAGUAAAGGCCAGGUUGACACGUUCGCUUUUCUAGACGACGGGUCGUCAGUUACCAUGAUAGAUCAGUCGACUGCAGAAGCGCUUGGUCUGGAAGGAAAUGCCGAAACCUUGUGCAUUCACUGGACCGGUGGAAUCCAGAAGAAACUGAGUGCCCAGCAGGUUGCGGUUGAAGUUUCAGCAGUCGACAGCGAUAAGAAGUUCAAGGCAUCUGAAGUAUACGUAGUAGAAUCUUUAGGCCUACCCGAACAAACAAUCAAUUUCCAGGAAAUGGAGCAGCGUUUUGCCUAUCUUAAAGGAUUACCAGUGAGAAGUUUCACGGCAGCUGUUCCUGGACUAAUGAUAGGGCUGAACAACAUACACUUGCUGGCAACCCUGAAGCUGCGUGAAGGGCAGGUAGGCGAACCGAUAGCAACAAAGACACGCAUUGGAUGGGCUGUAUAUGGAAGCAUAUGUGGGGGAGUCGAUCAACUACCACACCGUCAAAUGCACAUCAAUACGGGAACAUCUGAUGAUGAUCUGCACGCCUACGUUCAAGAAUUUUUCGCACUGGAAAGUUUGGGAAUCUCUGUGGUACCAGCAGCAGAAGCGAUAGAAGACCAACGGGCCCGACGGAUUUUGCAGGAGACGACUAAGCGCACCGACAGCGGUAGGUUCCAAACCGGUUUGCUGUGGAAGAACGAUUACAUCCAUUUUCCGGACAGCGAACCGAUGGCUAAAAAGCGACUAGCUUGUCUUGAGAAGCGACUAAGUAAAGACCCAGACCUGUACAACACCGUUCGCCGACAGAUAGCGGAGAUGCAGGAGAAAGGCUAUACACAUAAAGCAACCAAUGAAGAGUUAGCAGAGUUCGACCGUCGACGUUCGUGGUUCUUGCCACUAGGAGUGGUAUUAAACCCUAAGAAACCAGGAAAGGUUAGGCUUAUUUGGGACGCGGCAGCCAAGGUCGAAGGCGUCUCACUAAACACCGAGUUGUUGAGCGGUCCGGAUCUACACGCGCCGUUAUUGAGAGUGAUGUUCGGAUUCCGCGAAAGGCAGGUGGCUAUAUGCGCGGAUAUCAUGGAGAUGUUCCACCAAAUACUCAUUCAGAAGGAAGACCGCAGUGCACAACUAUACAAGUGGAGGGAUACACCGGAUCUACCUAUGGAAACCAUGGUGAUGGACGUCGCCAUCUUCGGCGCAACAUGUUCUCCAGUGCAAUCGCAGUUCGUGAAAAACAAAAACGCCGAAGAACACGAAGAAACACAUCCCCGAGCAGCCGACGCGAUUAAAAAGAAGCACUAUGUCGAUGACUACCUCGAUAGUCUCGAUACACCUGAAGAAGCAGCGGAGUUGGCAUUGGAAGUAGCAAAAGUUCACGCCGCAGGGGGUUUCUUCAUCCGAAACUGGAUCUCUAAUGACCAUUCCGUACUUGUGCGAAUUGGGGAAACCAAUCCAGCAGUAGUGAAAAGCUUCGUCGGAGAGGAUCAAGCUGAACGUCUGUUGGGAAUUGCCUGGUUACCGGACGCGGAUGUUUUCACCUUCACGCUAAACUUUCGUCGCGAUAUUCGGAUUCUCAUCGAAGAUGUUCUGGUGCCUUCCAAAAGAGAAAUGCUGCGAGUAGUGAUGAGCAUCUACGAUCCUCUCGGACUUGUUGCGGCGUUUGUCAUCCACGGAAAGAUUCUCAUUCAAGAUGUCUGGAGGGCUGGAAUCGACUGGGAUCAAAAGGUUCCGCAGGACGUGUUCAGCCGAUGGAAGCUGUGGUUAGAAAUAUUGCUAAAGAUGAGUGACGUUAGGAUUCCCCGCUGCUACUUUCCGGGGUACGAUCCGACAAGCUAUCGAUCACUGCAACUUCACAUCUUUGUGGACGCGAGCGAACAAGCCUUUGCCGCUUGCGCGUAUUUCCGUAUAGUCGACAGAGAAAGAGUUCGUUGCUGUUUGGUGGCGUCGAAAACCAAGGUAGCACCGCUCAAACCGCUAUCUAUCCCUCGUCUAGAACUGAUGGCAGCAGUGAUAGGAGCGCGGUUGAAGCGAUCGAUCAUCGAAAAUCAUUCCUUGGAGAUUCAGCAGACUUUCCUUCAUAGUGAUGCCGGAACUGUCCUUUCCUGGAUCCGAGCAGAUCCCCGUCGUUACCGUCAGUUCGUGGCAUUCCGCAUCAGUGAGAUUUUGAGCUUGUCAACGGUAGAAGAAUGGCGGUGGGUUCCAACAAGACUUAACGUCGCUGACGAGGCCACGAAGUGGGGUAGAGGUCCAUCAUUCGAACCGGAUAGCAGAAUUAUGGUAGGACCAAUGUUUCUGUACGACGAUCAACGAGAGUGGCCAAAGGACUGUCGAUCCGAGGUGAACGAAAUUGACGAGGAGCUCCGACCAGCUUACAAUUUCAGCCACUUUCUCGCAAGGCCGUUGGUGAAGUUCGAUAAUUUUUCGAAAUGGGAGCGACUGCUGCGGUGCGUCGCGUACGUACACCGAUUUGCGGAGAAUUUGAGGCGACGCUGUAAGAAGGAACCUGGAACAAUAGGAGGACUCACAUCAUUUGAACUUCAGCGAGCGGAACGUACACUCUGGAAGCUUGUGCAGUCUGAUGCCUAUCCGGAUGAAGUAGCAACGUUGAAGUACAAUUCUCAAGCUGAUAAGACAAAAUCGAAGAGACUGGAAAAAAGAAGCCCACUUGCGAAACUGUCACCAAUGAUAGAUGAAGACGGAAUUCUUCGUAUAGAUGGUCGAACGGUUCACAGCGACUACGCAGCCUACGAUGCGAAGUAUCCCAUUAUUCUAUCGAAGAAACACAUCGUUACAACGUUGCUGAUAGACUGGUACCAUCGCAAAUUUCGGCAUGCCAACAACGAGACCGUGGUCAACGAAGUUCGCCAAAGAUUCCACGUACCAAGUGUGAGGGUUCAAGUUCGAGCAGCCAGGAAGCGUUGCAUGUGGUGUCAGGUGUACAAGGCCGUUCCUGCGCCUCCGAAAAUGGGACCGUUGCCACAAGCUAGAUUGACACCAUUCAAACGACCCUUUACCUACUCCGGAGUUGAUUACUUCGGGCCUUAUUUCGUAAAAAUUGGGCGAUCUACGGCGAAAAGAUGGGUCGCUUUGUUUACAUGCUUGGUAACCCGGGCUAUUCAUCUGGAAGUAGUAAGCAGCUUGUCAACAGAUUCGUGCAAGAAGGCAAUACGUAGAUUCAUCGCGCGCAGAGGGGCUCCAGUGGAAUUCUACUCGGAUCGUGGAACAAACUUUAUUGGCGCUAGCCGCGAAUUGAUGGACGAGAUUAAGCGAAUCGACGUUGAACUCAGCAGCACCUUUACGAAUCAGCAGACGCAGUGGAAGUUCAACCCACCGGCCGCCCCACACAUGGGGGGAUGUUGGGAAAGAAUGGUCCGGUCGGUUAAAGUCGCUUUGGGUGUGCUGCCGUAUGAACGUAAACUCGAUGAGGAGUCGUUGACAACGUUUCUUGCCGAAGCCGAGCACAUGAUAAACUCGCGUCCUCUAACGUUUGUGCCAAUCGAGAGCGAGGAUGACGAAUCACUGACGCCGAACCACUUCCUGAUGCUAAACUCCAGUGGGGUCAAACAACCGGAAAAGACACCAGUGGACGUGGGCAUGGCAUUAAAGGGAAGCUGGAACCAAAUACAGCACACUUUGGAUAACUUCUGGCGACGGUGGUUGAAGGAGUACCAGCCAACCAUAACGCGGCGAACUAAAUGGUUCCACGAUGUCCGUCAUGUUAAGGAGGGUGACUUGGUGGUGAUUGCGAAUGAGGGGGUGAGAAAUCGGUGGCUCAGGGGUCGUAUAGUGAAGACAUAUCCGGGACGAGACAGUAUACCACGGCGUGCAGAUGUGCGAACUUCAGAUGGGUCAGUAUUACGUAACCGGCCAGUAACCAAGUUGGCCUUACUGGAGAUUGGAACCAUGAGUGACGCCGAACCGGAAGUUCUGUCGACACGUGGGGGAGGAUGUUGCGGACCCCUCGACAUGCAGUCGAUGUAAGCUCCUGACUGAUCGAGGUGACAGGUGUCAAGCUGUCAGGGGUGACGUAUCAUUUAAGAACUGUCAUUGAAAUGAUUUGCAAAAAUUAAUUGAAGACUACAGAAGUUAUAAAAAGUAUUUUUUCUUUAUUUUCAUCUAUUGAAAUUGUAUUACAUUAUUCUAUAUAUUUUUAGAUUCGCUAAAUUGAAUUAUCAUUAAUAUAGUGUUCUGUGUGUGGUGAAUUAUUUCGGACACUAAGUAGUAAGUACCUGUACAUAUGUUAAAAAGAUUGUGAACUCAAACAGUAAAAUAUACAAAUUACAGCUUUAGCGACACUCAGUAAAAAGCGAGUUGCUCAAAGGCAUCCGAAAGGACAAAUCACACCAACAAUAACUGACUUUGGUAUGCUCCAGUUAUGUAGCAGUUAUUCAUUCCUGCUCGGGCAGUGCUACAUAUUUGGGAAAAGUGUUACGAUGAAAUGUUAGCACUUCCUGAAAGUGUUGUCGAGAGCACAACUGGGUGAUCAAUCGACUGAUCGAAAUUUUAUAUUGUACAUAUAGCCACGUAUGAAGCCACAAACGCAAUCAGAAAUCUGCAGUUAUGACACAUAGCACAGAAUUGUGUUCGAUGGCUGUGCCAAGUCAUUCGAAAACUUCGUGGAGUAUGGUAUUGCUAUUGGAACUGCUUCGGUGGAGCUCUUAGAUGAAUUCACGGUGGAUAUCCUGGUGGAAGUUGUAGAGGAUUUCCUGUAGAACUCAUUUGGAAAUUUCAGAUGGUAGUCCUAAAAAAUAACGAUAUAACCCCUAGAGAAAGUUCCGUUGGAACUCCCAGACAGAUUCCCAGUGAAACUUUUAGCGGAAUUCCCGGUAGAAAGUCUGCGGCAGUUUGUAGUUGAACUUGUAAAGAAAUUCCCGGUGAAAAUUCUGAAGAUGUUUUACAGAAAUUCCUGCUGCAAUUAAUAAAUCUUCGGUGGUAUUCCUAGAGAAAUUUCCGGUAGAAUUUCUAGAUGAAUUUUCUGUGGAAUUUCUAGAGUAACCCCUGCGGGAAUUUACGGUAGUAAUCCCGCACAAAUUCUUGGUGGAACUCCUGGACAGGGUGUCUACUACCUGGAAAAACCUGGAAAACCGGGAAUCCUCAGGGAAUUUUAUUUAACAGGGAAAAACCUGGAAUACUCAGGAAAUUUCUGGAGUACUCAGGGAAAUUUUACUCCGAUAAAAAAAACAUUGGUUCGUAUGAACCUGGUAGUAAAAAUCCAUAUAGAAAUUUCGCUACAAGGAUUUUUUCCAGAAAUUCCGUCAGAAUUUCUUUCUGGAACUUCUUUAAAAAUACCUCCUGGAAUGUCUCCCAGGAUUACUUAUAAUAUUCCUUCCGCAUUUUUGACGCUAUUUUUCUUGGUAUUUCUUUUUGAUUUUUUCCGGAACGGGAUACUCCCGAUAUCCUUCCAGGAUUCCUGAAUUCCAACCGAUUUCUCCUGGAGUUUUUCACGGGGAUGCUAUUUCUUCACAGAGUUCCUCCAGUGUUUUGCUGAAUGAAAUCUUCGUAGGAUUUCCACCAGAAUUUAUCCCGAAUACUCUAUAAGAAUAUCUGUCGGGAUAAAUCGUGGAAUUUCUUUCGGCACUCCUCACGGAAAUUUUACCCGAUUCUUUCCGGUGUUCUUCUUGGGACUUCCCCAGAAGAUCUUCACAGAAUGUCUUUCAGAGUUGCUAAAGGAGUUAUUCCUGGGGUUCCUACUAAAGUUCCUCCAAGGGUUUCUGACGGAGUUUUCACGAAUUUAGUGCAAGAGUUCCUCAAAAGAUUUCUUUUAUUUGUUUCCUGUGAUAUCUUCAAACCAUUGCUUUGGGCUUUCUUCGAGAUGUUCUUCCUAGUCUCCUACAGGAAUUUGUUAAAAGUUUUCGCGAGGUUUAUUUUGAAGUUUUACCUGAGAUUUUUCUCGGAGUGUCUCCUGGAACUUCUCUCAGAAGAUUCCUUCCGAUAUUGGUCAUGAGAUGUCUCUCAGAGUUUUUCUUAAUUUACCCUGGAUUUUCCAGAGUGCCUUCUGGGAUUUCCACAGGAGUUAUUGCUGAUAUUUCUCAUUGAAUUCUUCUCUUGCAUUCUUUCAGAGCCAGGCUGUUUCUUGUAGUUGAACCGAAUUUCUUGCAGUGAUUCACCUGAGAGUUUUUACAGAUAUUCUAUGCAUUAUUCAACAAUCUUCCCGGAAUCUUUACCAGAAAUUGUCCCGAGAUUCUGGAUACUCCUUUAGGGAUUUUUCCCAAAGUAAUUCCAGGGAUUCUUCUACGGGUUUUCCUCAGAAUGUCUCCUGAGAUAACUUACGAAAUACCUUAUAGGAAAUUCAUGAAGAAAUAUUCGAGGGAAUUCAAAUAAAAUCUUGCGAAAAACUCCGCAAAGUGUUGUUGAAAAAAUCUCGACAUGAACUUCAGGAAAAACCUGAGAAGAAAUAUUAAGGACAUCCAAGGAGGAAUUUUGAAAACCUCAUGGAUACCUGAAAGCAGCUGCGGACGAAGUUCCGCGAGGAAAACAAGAGGACUAUCGGAGAACUAUCGAAAAAGUUCAAUAGUUUAUGUAUAGCUGUCCCGGAAAACCACUAAAACAGACAUGGACACUGGCUUCAGCCGGCGGCUGUACCGAUUGAACGAAACUUAACACGGAGUGGCUACGCAUAAGACGUGAAAAAUUUCAUCGCUCGGAGCGGGAAUCGAACCCUCAUCCACCCGGACUCUAACCGCAUGGCUACGAGGUUCAACCAUUGACAUUCUUGAAGAAACUUUAAAUAGUUUCAAAUCAUCAAAUCCUUCCCAACCAAGCUGAAUAUGAUCAAGUUUCAGGCAAUUUGGCCGGCAUAAAUCCCUCAUGACGAAGAGAACAAACCUGCCGAUGAUACCCUAAGUCACCCUUUAUAUUUUUUUGAAAAUUUUGGUUGUUUUAUAAUUUAUUUAAGUUUAUAAUUCAAAACUUUCAAAACUUCAUCUGGAAAAACCUGGAAAACUCAGGGAAUUUUAUUUUGAGUUAUGAGUAGACACCCUGCUGGAGAAAUUCCUUGUGGAACUCCUUUAAUAAUACCGGAUGGAUUUCUAAUUCCUAAAGGAAUAUCUGGGGGAAUUCCUUGAAGAAUUAUCGGUGAACUCCUAGAAACAAUACCAGUAGAACUUCUAAAAGAAUUCCCAAUGGAAUUCCUUCAGAAUUGUUGGUGGUACUCUUACCUGCGGACGUUCGUGAUGGAACUUUUAGAGGAAUUCUCCGUCAAACUCUUACAAAAGUUCUUGGAAGAAAUCCCGUUGGAACAGUAAAACUCCUAGAGGAAUUCCCGGUGAAAUUUCUGCAGAAAUUCGUGUGGAGCUUCCAGAGAAACAUCUCGGUGAAACUCUUGUGGAAGUAGACGAUGGAUUCUUUAUAGUAUUACAUGAGAGAACUCCUGCAGGAACAGCGGUAGAAACUCCAAGAAGACUCCUGUGGUAUCUCGUGAUGUAACUUUUAGAUUUAGAGGAAUUUCCGGUUGAACUACACGAUUUCACGUUCUACAAGAAUUCCCGAUGGAACUCCUAGAGGAAUUCCUAACAGAACUGCUAGAUGAUUUCCCGGUGUUAUCCUUAGAGAAUAUUCCCAUGAAAUACAAGAGGAAUUGCAGUCGGAAUUUCCGUUGGUACUCCUGGAGAAAUUCUCGGUGAAACUCCUACGGGAGCUCAUGAUGGAACUUUGAAAAGGAUUCCCAGUGGAAUUUGUGGUGGAAUUUCUGGCAGAAUUUCCGGUGGAUUUCAUAAAGAAAUUCUUUGAGGAAUUUAAGAUAAAUGACCAAUUAAACUUCUAGAGGAGUUUCCACUGGAACUCUAAGAAGAAUUUCUGAUGAAACUCCUACAAAAAUUACCGAAAGAACUUCUAGAAGAAUUCUUAGUGAAACUCCUAUUCCUAUUGGCAGUUCUCGGUAGAUUUCCUAAAGGAAUGUAUGGUGAAAUUUCUUCGGAAAUUCCUGUUGAAACUUCUAGAAAAGCUUUCGAUGGUACUUCUAGAAGAGUUUUCGAUGGUACUUCUAAAGGUACUCCUGCGGGAGCUCGUGAUGGAAUUUUAGAGAAUUCCUGAUGGAACUCCAAGAGAAGCUCCCGAGAACUACUAGUCUAGAGGAUAUUUCCGUGAAACUCCAUAUGAUUCUCAGUGGAACUAUUAGAGGGACUUCGCGGAGAAACUCCCAUAUGAACUCCUGGUGAACUGUUGGCGGAAUUUCAGUCGGAAUUACUACAGAAAUGCUCAUUGAUACAGUCGUAGAACAAUGCUGGGUCACAUUUAGAGAAUAUUUUCAUGGAAUAUAUGAAAUUCUAAGUGCAUCUCCAAGAGGAAUUAUAAUCAGAAUUGCUAGAGAAAUUUUCGUUGGUACACCUGGAGAAAUGCUCGGUGAAACUCCUACGGGAGUUCAUGGUGGAACUUUGAAAAGAAUUCCCGGUGGAACUCCUGCAGGAAUUUGUGGUGGAACUUCUGGAAGAAUUUUCGGUGGGAUUCAUAAAGAAAUUCUCGGAGCAAUUUCAAGAUAAGUUACCAUUCCAACUCCUAGAGGAGAUUCCGGUGAAACUCCAAGAAAAAUUGUUGGUGAAACUCCUAGAAAAGAUCCCGAUAGCACUUCUAGAAGAAUUUCCAGAACUCCCAGUGUAAUAACUACAGGAAUUCCCUGUGAAACUCUUGUGAAAUUUCUCGGUGGAUUUACUAUAGGAAUUCAUGUCGAAACUUCUAGCAUUCGGAGGUACUCCUAGCACAGUUUUCGAUGGUACUUCUAGAAAAACUCCUGCGGGAGUUCGUGAUGGAACUUAAGAGAACUUUUAGGUUAAACUUUUAGAAACAUUCUUGAAAGAUUUCUCGAUGGAACUCCUAGAAAAGUUCCUGGUGAAACCUCCAGAGGAUAUGAAAUUCUCCGUGGAAUUUCUAAAGAAAUACAUGUAGGACUUCGCGGAGUAACUUCUGGGGAAACUGCUGGCGGGAUUUCAGUCGGAAUUACUACAGAAAUUCUCAUUGAUACAGUCAUAGCAGCACAGUAAUGGGUCACCCACAAUAAUGGAUAAAAUGUGUUUGAAUAGCGUGGUGAACUGACUGACUUAUAAUUUCGACAGAGUGAGCCAUAUAAAUGUGCAAUUACUGGUCCUAAAGAAAUUCUUGAUGAAACUCCUAUGGAAGUUCACGAUGGAGUUUUGAAAAAAAUCCUGGUGGAAAUUCUUGAGAAAUUCGCGGUGGAAUAUAUACAAGAAUUCGCCGUAGAACCCCAAUAAGAAUUCGUGGUGGAGCUUCUGGAGAUAUUUUCGCACUUCUGAAGAUAUUCGGCACUCCUGCAAGAAUUUGCAGUGAUACUCCUAGAGGAAUUCCCGGUAGAACUUCUGCAGGAGUUCGUGGUGGAUAAACAGGAAGAAUUUUCAUUGAAUUUGCAUAGAGACAUUCUCGAGGGACCUUAUAGAGAAACCACCAUUGAAACUCCUUGAGAAGUUCUCUGCGGGAAUUACCACAACAAUUUCCUGUAGAACUCAUGGAGGAAUUUCUGGUAAAACUCAUAGAAGAGCUCGUGGUGGAACUUCUGGUACCUUUGCCGGUGGAUCUGCUAGUGAUAAUCGGUGGAGUUCCUAGGGAAUAUGCAUGUGAAACACGUAUAGGAAUUUCUGGUAGAAUAUCGGCAAAAAUAUCGUAGGAUUUCGAAGCGAAAUUCUUGGUGAAGUUUCUUGAGAAAUUCUUGGUGGAACUCCUACAAAAAGAAUCACUGGAGCUCAGAGAAAUUUACGGUGGUACUCCUACAGGUUCUGGUGGAUCUGCCAGAUAAAUUUUCGAUGGAACUCGUACAGGAAUUCCCGGUGGAACUUCUAGAAAAAUCCACAGUGGAACUCUAACAGAAAUUCACGGCGGAAUUCCUGUGGGAAUUCCCAUUGGAACUGUUGUUUUCCACAGAUUUAUUGUCCGUUUUCAUUUUGAAAUCUAAAGUUUUUUUUCCUGUAUGUUAGAAUUGUUAUAGAAAUACAGGUGCGUAAUGCAGAAUUUCUCCGGUGGUCACUCCGGUGACUACGAAGAACCAGUAUGGCUAUUUAUUUAUUUGUAUCGUAUCGUAAAAAUAACCGGCAUGAAAAGAAAAAUUAAUGAUAGAUCAUAUGGCGUCUGGUUUUGGUUCGAAAAGUCUACCCUAAUAGAAAAAUAUGAUACAACGUGCUUAACAACCCUUUCGGGCUAUCAUUUUGAUCAUACAUGGAAUGAUACAAUCAUUCGCCAAAUCGUCAGUGUAUAAUACAUUUUUGUUAGGGUAAGAAAUCGGGUUACGUACAAAAGGCUGAAACACGAAAGGCUGAAAUAACAAAAGGCUGAAUUACGAAAAGAUGAAUCACAAAAGGCUGAAAAUGUCAAAAGGCUGAAAUAACAUAAGGCUGAAAUAAUUAUUCGACUAGUUUUCAAACGGCGAACAUAACAGACAAACAGACAUAACACUCUAAUUAUUCAUAUCGUACACUGAUAUAAUGAUCUUUAUGAAAAUUUGCUAGUUGGCCGACCACUCAGCCCUGACACUUGCAUUGGUUUUGCUUGAGUUUGACAUUUGACACACACUACCGCUCAUGGGUUGAUGAUUCAUUGGACGAACAUGCUUCCGUUACUAUGUUCGAAUAGAGGCGUCCCGUGACCAUCAGACUGACCUGUUCUAUAGAUGACAAUCGUACUAAAUGGAAAUACGUUUUAAGUUGUUUGAUGCUAGUCUUGCUCAGAUUGUUCAUACCCUGGUUCAUACUAUCAUUGAUAUUUUUUUUUGUUUCUUUUUUAAUGUUGUAGAAUAUACCCUCUUCGAAUGAGUGUAAUCAGUUUCGUACCUUUGAAUUCCGCCCUAAUUGCUUAUCCUUUGAAAGAUACGCGUAUUUCAAAUACCACUAGUAAUCUUCCUCAGUGUCAGUUAUCCACUUAUCCACGAAAUAAGCAAAUAUGCAAAAUUUCCAUUUUCUGAAAAUAUCUUCGGGAUCUUCAUCUUAAAUAAGGUAGGCGAUGUGGAUUACUUUUCAUUUUUAUGUAAACACCUUCUGAGUAUACAAAGGUUUUAAUUCAUACAUCAUUCGAGCCAUUAUGAGAACAUCUUCGAAUAAUCUUCUAAAGAUUGGGUCAAAUCUGAUGUUAGAUCUGCAAUUUUUCUUCAUAUAAAUAGAAUUUGCUUUAUGCGAAUUUUUACAGAGAUUUUAAUAAAAACUAUUUGCUUAGUUUUGUUCAUAUAGCCUCUUGUUGCGUGGAUUAUUUCACGACACAACUGCUAAUUAAUAUCUGUUACAUUCUAUCAUGUCCAAGCUCAUUUUGUGCGGUAAAUGUUCGAAAGUUUAGCCUCACAUGGCCUAAAAGUUAUAGUUUGGAAACCGUUGCCAACUAACUACAUGUUCGCGUAGCUAGAGCGCAUUUGACAUCCAACCCAGCUCUACAGUCAUUCGCGCAAGCUGGUUGUACAUUGGAGGUGCCUCUGGCGUUCUAACUCUGCAAGUUGUUCCCAAGCUAUGUAGAACGACAAACAGCGAAGCCACAGCUCAUGUUUUAGCUUCGCUACACACAUGUACAUUUUUCAUUCAUACAGAAGAUCUUCUCGUUUACAUGUGUGAUUUUGGCAUUCAUCGUCUCCGGCUCUGAAAAGCAUGGUAACAACCAUUUACACAAAUUUGACGACCUUAUUGGUAAGCAAAGCUCAAAAAGUAUUUGAAUAUUAUGAAAGAAAUGUUCGAUAUAUAUAUUUCCGUUGGCAUAUAUUUGUUGCGAAAGGUUGCGAAUAUUGUUAUUUCACAACAACAAUUAAAUACACAAUUUUUGACAUCAUAAAACUUUAAUAUAGAAUUGAAAUUUUAAUCGAUUGUGCUUAGCGUGCGUGUACGUGUGAGAAAGCGGAGAGUGAAAAAAAAAUGCUACGAGACGCCGACCACGCUACUGUGGCUGCUGCUGGUUCUCGACGAGUGGAGAACGUAUGGGCGACAGAGUAGAGAGAAAUGAAUUUGAGUGAACACUGCCUUUCGGAGGUAAAAAAAGUAAAUAAACUGUUGGUUUGGCAACAAUGCUUGUCGUUCGCAUGAAUCGUGGAACUGGUGGAAGUAUGGCUUCGAAGAAUCAAGCAAGAGAGAGUUGCGCCGAUCUGGCUCUCGCAUGCUCUUGCUGCUUGGUUUAUGCUGCUGGCUGGUGUGGUAAACUUCUAGAUAUAAGCAUGCGUUGUAUUCCGUUCUCCAUAAACAGAGAACGAUGCGACGUUUGCGUUUUGUGCACAAGCUGUAAUCGGGUAUGUGCGGUGCGGGUUUUAAAUUUAGUUUAUGCUUGUGGGGUAACAAUUAUUUUAAUUGACCGAAUUUUAAUCUCAGCCUACCCGUUCCAAGAACAGGUCGAACAUGCGGAGGAGGCGCCUCUGGUCGAAAUCGGAAAGCGUUAGGACUGUUCUUCCGCGCUAAAGUAUGCAUUAUUGAUCGCCUACAUAACUAUGACAGUAUUUCUCCAAAGAAUAGCAUAUAUUUAAAGAAGGAAAAUCUCUGAUUACAUUGGUGGCAGCUGUAAUGGCAACCAAUCUUCAUAACAGCAUGUCUCGAAAGAAUAGCUCAUGCUUAAAGAAGGAAAAUCUCUGAUUGAAAUACCAUCAGACAUUUUUUGUGUUAGUUGGUAUGCAUCAUUAGCCUCUUCACUAAGCACAUUCUAUGACUAGGACUCAUAUAUGUAGCCGCUCUGGUUAGUGAACGGGUAGUCAUGCUGAGGGUUACGGGUUCGAUUCUGCCUCGUGCUAGAAAAUUUUUGUAAUAUAAAAUUCCUUGACAACCGCGGGCAUAAAGUAUCUUCCUGCCUGUCACACGAUAUACAAAUGCAAAGUGGUCAUUGGCAGAGAAGGAUCUCAAUUAAUAACUGUUGAAAUGCGUAUAGAAGCUGAAAGCAGGCUUUGUCUCAGUUGGGACGUUACGCCAGAAAAAAAGAAGUACUAUAACCCAUUUCCUGCAUUUUUGCGAUUUCAGCCUUUUGUGCAUUCAGCCUUUUGAAAUUCAGCCUUAUGUUACUUCAGCCUUUCGUGUUCAGCCUUUUGUGCAUUCAGCCUUUUGAAAUUCAGCCUUAUGUGCAUCCCAAGAAAUCAUUGUCAUUGUCGUUGCCUGAUUGAUUCCGGGAUUCAGAAAAACUUAAUUAGAAGGCACAUAAUGUUGGUAAUUGACAAGUUUAAAGAUGAAUUUGUAAAAAAAAAAUCGCGUUCUGGUUGGAUUCGAACCCACGACGCCGUAUUAGCUAGACCGGCGCUUUAACCAACUAAGCCACAAAACAGGCAAUGAUUCUGUGGAAUAGAAAGCCAAACCUAACCCGAAUCCACACCAUGAACACUCCUUUUUUUCACAAACCAUCUCUUAUUCGGCUUAGAUGCCAAUCCUUGGGUAAAAAGACAGCUAUUCUUCUUCUUCUUCUUUUAUGGCUCUACGUUCGCACUGGGACUUGGCCUGCCUCUCUUCAACUUAGUGUUCUUUGAGCUUUUCCAUAGUUAUUAAUUGAAGGGCUUUCUUUGCCUGCCAUUGCAUGAAUUUGUAUAUUGCAAGCCCAGGGAGUCGAGAAAAUUUUCCCGACCGGAACGGGAAUCGAACGCGCCGUCUCUGGAUUGGCGAUCCAAAGCCUUAACCACUAGGAUAACUGGAGACCCCUAUUAAACCCCUAUAAAAGACAGCUAUUAUAAAGGUCGUAUCAGGUCACAUGAUCUAAUCGAAAAUUCCUUGUGAUUUCCCGAAGAAAACAUUCAGGAAUACCAGCUGGAAUUCUUGCGGCUCCUUAUGUGUUCAUUACAUGAAUUUCUCCAAGAAUUCCUCCCGUAGAUCCUCUUGGAAUUUUCUAAGAAUGCCUACUAGCGUGGCUCCAGUUUUUUCAUGUUUUUUGCAAGAGUUCUUCUUGGAAUUUUCCCAGGGAUUUUAUCAGGAAAUCAUCCAGGAAUUCCUCCAGGGAUGCCUAGUGGGGUUCUUCCAGAAAUUCUUCCUGUGCUUUCUCCAGGUAUUCCGCCAAAAUUCUUCAAGGGUUUUCUCUUGAAGUGCUUAAGAAGUUCUUGCUUUAAUUAUUCUUGGAUUUUUUAGUUGCAUUCCUCAAACAAUUCUUGCUAAAAAGAAAAAAAUCAAAAUAGAGAUUCCUCCAGAAAUUCCUUAAGAGAUUGUCCUUCAGGAGUGUCUUUUGGAAUUCUUCCAAGAAUUUUUCGUAAUAUUCCUGCAGAAAAUCCUCUUGAGAUUCCUUUUGGAAUUCCUGCUGGCCGGGGAUAUCUAGAUAUUCCCUUCAGAAAUUCGUAGUGGGAAUGAUUAAGGAAUUAUUACUGGGAUUGCCCAAAAAAAUCCUUCUGGAAAUUAUAUAGGGAAAAUUAUAGGGAAAUUACCAGCGGGAAGUUAUUGCGAAAUCCGAGUAAGAAUUCCUAUAAUACAUUUCUGAAGGAAUCCCAGCUGGAAUGUAGAAAUUCCUAGAUAAAUCACAAGAUUCCUAGGAUUUCUCCAAGGAUUUAUUCAUGAAUUUCUUCAGAAAUUCCUUCUGGAAUUCCUCCGGAAAUUCCUACUGUAAACCCCUUUUGGAUGUCUCCUAUGGUUUGCCAGGAGAGCCUGUUAGUAGUCUUACAGAAAUUCUUCUUGUGACUCCUCAAUAGAUUUCACCCAUAAUUUCAGCGAUUCUUCUAAGGACUCCUCUCAAAGUUACUCCUGACAUUCUUCCAGAAACUCCUCAUGAAAUAGUUCUAGUAAUUCCUGCUGGGAUCCCUCCAGUGUUUUCUUCAGGGAUUCCUACAAGUAUUCUUUAAGUAAAAGCUCUUGGGAUCACGUCAAAAAUACUUGUAUGAUUUUUUCCUGACUGGCAAAGUUACCACAAAUAUCAAAAUUACACCAUUGUUACAAUUAACUGUAAGGACUUCCACUUGUUUGAAAUUACCUUUUAAUUGCGAUUUUACUGUCUACCCCCGUUGAACGACAGUUCAUGGGAAACCAACGUGCGAAAAACACACUGAUGGCAACCCUUUUUUUUGCUGUUUUGUUUUGAUUUUGCGUUCCGUUUCACUCCGUUCCAUGAGCGUUUGAACCAUUUUUAGUUUAAACGAUGUGCAGACUAGAGGAGGUCAAAUUAAAAAGUGUUCAGAUUACAUGAGGUCAAACCAAUGGAGGUAGACGGUAAUAAAAAUAUGUUUAUCACACUUUCAUCAUGCAUCCAUGAUCCCAUUGUUGAACAUUGGCAUUACUUGAACUGUCUGAACAAGACUGCCAGAUUUUUUUUUUACAUUUCAUGGGCGUUCUGUGGGUUUCGAGGGUUUUCAUGAGCGUUACGGGAAUGUUCCAGGGCUGUUCCAAGGGGCUUCGUAUGGUUUCCAGGGUGCUCCUUCCAGGGGGUUUCAGGAGCGUUCCAUGAGAUUUUAGUCGUUUUCAAGAUACAUUUAUUUCACCGGCGUUCGAGGAGGUUCCAUGUGUUUUCCAGCGGCUUUUCAAGCGGUAUUUUCAAGCGGUUUCAAGGAUGUUCCAGGAGUUUCAGAGACCUUCGAGGGGAUUCAGUUUGUUCCAGGGUUUCAGGGGUGUUACAGGGAGUUCCACGGGCGUUCCAGGAGAUGUCAGGGGCGAUGCAGAGUGUUUCGGGUGGCAUUAAGAGAUUCCAGAAGGUAACAUGCGCGUUCCAAGGUUGGUCUAAGGUCUCAGUGGGUAUCAGAGGCGUUCUUAUGUUUUUCUGCGUUUUUCAGGGACUCAGGGGUGUUCCAAGAAUUUCAGGCGUUUUCACUUUCAGGGGCGUCCGAAGAUGUUUCAGGGGUGUACCAGUGGAUUUGAUGUGUUUUCAAGGUGGUUUCAAGGUGUUCCAGGAGGCAUCAGGGGCGUUCCAGGGAUGUUCUAUGGGAAUCAGCUCGUUCCAGAAGUGUUCCAGGGGCAUUCCUGGGGAUUUCAUGGGCAUUUCAGGUUUUUUUAUGGUUACAGAAGUGUUUCAGUGGGUUGUAGAGCGCUUCGGAGAUGUUCCAAGGGUUUCAAGGAUUUUCAUAAGGGCUCCAGGAUCAUUCCAGGGGUUGCAGGGGCGUUCCAGUGGGUUGCAGGGCAUUUAAGGUGCAUUACAGGGUGCUUCAGGUUGUUUUAGGAGACUCUGGGAGGAUUCAGGUGCGUUUUAUGACAGUUCUAGGGGUCUCAGUGUGUUUCAGGAACGUUUCAUGGGUCUUCAAGGAGGUUUCAAGGGUUUCCGAGUGGAUUUUAGGUAUUUUCAAGCGAUUUCAGGGGUGUCCCAGAAAUCUCAGAGACGAUCCAGGGGUUUCAGUUUGUUCCAGGAGUGUUCCUGAGACAUUUUUGGGGAUUUCAGGAGCGUUCCAGGGGUUUUCAAAUGGUUUCAGGGGUGUUCCAGCGGGUUUCAGAGCGUUCUAGGGUUGCAGUGUGUUCUAGGAGUGUUCCAAGGAAGUAUUAGGAGUGCCAGAGACUUUUCGGGUGAUUCCAUGGGCUUUCAUAAAGGUUCCAGGGUCGUUCCAGUGGAUUUCAGGAGUGUUACAGGGAGUUCCAGGAGCGUUCCGGGAGAUUUCAGGGCGAUGCAGGGUGUUUAAGGCGAUUUUAGGAGAUUUCAGGAGCUUACUUGAGCGUUCCAGGAUUGUUCUAGGGCCUCAGCGGGUAUCAGGGGCGUUCCUAGGUUUUUUUGCGUUGUUCAGUGUUUCAGGGGUGUUCCAGGGGAUUUUAGGCGUUUUCACGGGGUUUUCAGGGGCAUCCGAAAAGGUUUCAGGGGCGUUCCAGGGGAUUUCAUGUGUUUUCAAGAAGGUUUGGGGGUGUUCCAAGAGGCAUCAAGGGCGUUUCAGGGACAUUAUUGGAAGAUUUCAUGGGCAUUCCAGGUUUUUUAAGGGUUUCAGAAGUGUUUCAGUGGGUUGUAGAGCGCUCCAGAGAUGUUCAAAGAGUUUCAAGGAUUUUCAAAAGGGCUCCAGGAUUGUUCCAGGGGUUGCGGGCGUUCUAGUGGAUUUAAGGGAGUUUAGGGAAAUUUAAGGGCUUUACAGGGUGUUUCAGGUGGUUUUAGGAGAUUCUGGGAGGAUUUAGGUGUGUUCUAUGGCUGUUCUAGGGGUCUCAGAGGCGUUCUAGCGAUUUUAAGGGUGUUCAAGGGGGUUUCAAAGGUGUUCUUUGGGUUUCAGAGGUGAUCCAGGGAACCUUUCAGGGCAUUCCAGGGGGUUUCAGCGAUUUUUCAAAGACAUUCAGUCUCAGGAGUGUCAAAAAAGUUCAGGAUUGCUUUCAGAAGGGUUUCAGGGGAUUUCAGGUGGUUUCAAGGGCGGUUCAGGGGUUUUACAGGCGUUCCAGUGGAUUUCAGGGAGUGUCAGGGACGUAACAGGGGGAUUUAGAGGGUUUCUAGUAGGGUUUCGUGCUUUUUUGGGUUAUGUUUAGAGUUAUUACAGUGGGCUUCAGGGGUUUUCAGAUGAUUUCAGGUGUGUUUCGAAACCCCUUCAAACCAUUUAAAUUAGUUUUCAAACGCCUUAACAUCACUUGAUCUCUCAAAAACUUCUUUGAACGCCCCCCAAAACCCUCUGAAAUGUCUUGAAACGCUUAGGUACGCAUUGAUACCCCGCUGAAACACCCCGAAACCACCUGAAAUCUCCUAAUCUGUCCUGAACUUCUAUUGUAAUGGCUUGAAGCUUCUCUAAAAUAGUCCUGAAAUUUCUAGGAACCACUGGAACAACCCUGGAUCCUCCUUGAUAACGUCCAGCAAUUUCCAGAAACGCUUUCCAAUUUCCCCUGAAAUUGAAAUCACCAGAAACCAUCUGAAAAGCCUCGCAACUCCUCUAAAACCUACUGAAACUUCCUAGAAAGUUUCACACUUUCGGGAGUAUCCUCGAAACUUGUCUGAAACUCUAAUGAAAUCUGAAACUUUUAAAUGAAUGAUACGAAGUUCAAGAUUUUGUCUACGUUGACAUGUAACCAAGGGUUAGAAGGGUCAGAUACUACAGAUCACAAAUGUACACAUACGUUAAAUAUUUGCUGACAUUGGCAAUGGCGGUUGGUUAUAUCGACUAUGCGAACAUGGGUAGUAUUUCCAACAUAGAUCCUAUUUAUUUCAAAUAUAAUGUAACGCUUGUUCCAAUAAGUGUUGUACAGUCGGGACUUAACACGGUGCCACUAAUACGUACACCAUAAUAUCUGGAUUAUUUUACAGUUAAUUGAGCUGGAAUUUUGUGUCUGGUUAAAAAAAACUGAAAUAAGAUAAUCAUCCUUCAAAAAUCAGUUGAAUUUGUUGGCACGCAGUUGAAAUACAGUGGACGUAAUGUGGGUGGUACCGUUUUGUAGGAAUCCCGACUGAAGUUGUGGUCAAAACAAAAUGCGUUUUGAAACAACUUAAAAUAUGUUUGAUUUUACUAUAAUUUUCAAAACAGACGAGUAUUGACAAAGCCACAUGCAAAACGCUGUCACUGCUAGGUGGAUUCAUAUUCUUCAGAGGUUUUGUAAAACAUCGACGAUUCUUUGUUGGAAAACUUGUUUCCAAACCCUAUUGAAUCUUGUUUCAAGUCAGGAAGUUCGGAAAGUGUUCAAUCAUCAACCCGUCAUUUUAUCAAUUUCAUUAGAAUCCACCUGAAACAUUCCACCACGGCAAGUGUGUUCUUAGCCAAAGAAAGACGUAGCCACAUAUUCAAAUUUGCUUUUCCCCCCAGAUGUAGGAAAACAAAGGAGCAAUUAAACUAAUAAAACCGCGCACCGCUUAAUCGAAACCGAUAAAACUCAAAUGAACGAUGCGUUGUUGGUUCCGCCUGGAGAAUGCUGUGUCGUUACGCGCGUUACUGUUGUGUGAUUCCAGCUAAAGCUAGACUAUUCAUAUAUGCACUGAGAAGAGCACACACGACGACGCCGCCGAUAUCGGCGGCAGGCACGUUUUGCUUCGAUUGCGCACCUCCUUCGUUUUUUUUUCAUUCUGACAGCUGUAGGUACUUAGCCUCUCCUAGUAGUACAUACUAACUGCGAACAAGCACACUUAAUUAACGAAAUCGACUUUGCGCGCACUCUGCCUCUGCCUGUUGCUGCACCACACUUGUUGUUUGUUUUCCGAAGACGAGUGUUGUUGAGGAAGCACCUUCCGUUGUGUUAUUAUCGACUGUGAGUUCAUAGACUCAAGUAUGUAUCGACAGUAUCGUUGUAAUGAACCUGGCUCGGUAUGGGACAGUUUCCGUCUGGAGGAUUAUUUGAGCGGCGGUUGAGGAGACAUACUCACGCACGGGGACAUCUACGGAGGAAUCAUUCAUCCGACAUACCUCUUACCACAGGAGCUUACUUGUGUGACCCCGUCCAAAUCCACCCAUAUCGCCCAUUCACCGACCUUCAAUUGGUCAGCUGCAACACCACCAAAUGGCUACGAGAGCCAAAUUUCCAUUUCUUCAAUCGUUCCCGCCUGAAUCGAACCCGAACUCCCGCUCGCCGCCGUCGCUACACCCCGCAAUCAUGCGUCCGUACCUGUGCCUGUACCUGUACCUGUUCUACCCGUAUUUCUUGUUUUUGAUUUCAGGCACCUACGGGAGCGGCUCGGCCGACGGGGCCUGCAGUGCCGACGAUCUGGACUGCAUCGCGCACCACGAUCACCUCGGGAUGGAAGCGAUCCGGAGUCUGCACCAGCAGCUCGAUGAC